Molecule: ribosomal RNA, 254 nt
Filed under: uncultured bacterium
Lineage: Bacteria
Description: partial 16S ribosomal RNA
Rfam family: Bacterial small subunit ribosomal RNA
Source: RNAcentral
CACGUAGGGUGCGAGCGUUGUCCGGAAUUAUUGGGCGUAAAGAGCUCGUAGGCGGUGUGUCGCGUCGGCCGUUAAAACCUGCAGCUUAACUGUGGGCUUGCGGUCGAUACGGGCAUCACUGGAGUUCGGCAGGGGAGACUGGAAUUCCUGGUGUAGCGGUGAAAUGCGCAGAUAUCAGGAGGAACACCGGUGGCGAAGGCGGGUCUCUGGGCCGAUACUGACGCUGAGGAGCGAAAGCGUGGGGAGCGAACAGG